Neomonachus schauinslandi (Hawaiian monk seal) is the source of this 138-nucleotide small nuclear RNA. RefSeq annotates it as U4 spliceosomal RNA. The transcript has a single exon. The record is from RefSeq and is a predicted model, not a curated record. Lineage: Eukaryota; Metazoa; Chordata; Mammalia; Carnivora; Phocidae.
AGCUUUGUGCAGUGGCAGUAUCGUAGCCAAUGAGGUUUAUCCGAGGCGCGAUUAUUGCUACUUGAAAAUAAGCCAGUCAGAGAAAGACAAAUACCGUGUGAUUUCACUUAUAUGUGGAAUUUAAGAAACAAAACAAAU